Molecule: unclassified non-coding RNA, 213 nt
Filed under: plant metagenome
Description: partial contains small subunit ribosomal RNA, internal transcribed spacer 1, and 5.8S ribosomal RNA
Source: RNAcentral
UCUCCGUAGGUGAACCUGCGGAGGGAUCACUACAGGCUUGCAAAAGCUCUGAAACCACUGUUUAUCUACCUGAAUCUGCUUCGGCAGGCGGCCCCAGGGCGGGGCCGUAGCCGCAAGGCGCCCGCCGAAGACCCCUAAACUCUGUCGUCUUGAGAAUCUCUGAGUAUCAUAUUAAACAGAAAACAACUUUCAACAACGGAUCUCUUGGCUCUG